AAAACCAUAAAGAAAUGAAGGGCCUAAAUCAUAACCCAUCAACUUGAAAUCAAACAAAACCCCCCUUUUUAAACACUAAAAAGAACAUUUUCUUUCUUUCUUUGACAUUGCGCCGUAAUGCUCUCCUUCUGCCCUCCUCUGCUCCUAUGGCCAUGAAACAAAGGAGUUUCAACGACGUCACACCGGUAAGUUCCCUUUACUCCCUUCCUCGUUUUGUUUAUUUGUUGUUUUUUAGAAGCAAAAGAAAAGAACUAAAAUAAAUUUAAAAAAAAACAGUAAAGGAACAGAGAAAAAUAAAACCAAAUCCCACCUUCAAAAAUAUUUUUCUGUAUAUUUUCUUUUUGAUUUCAGUACAAAAAAUUUUCUAACCCCCCUUACAAUAAAUCCAUUGGCUUUUUAUAGCCAAAACUCCUUUACAAUUUGUUGUCUCUAUCCUAUUAGUGUUGCCCGUGGUUUAUUCGUUGCAGGUACGUGGAAAAAGCAAGGUGUGCUGAUCGUGGGUGGUUGCUGCGAUGUGAGCAGUUGCUGCGGCAUUCGCGGAGGCUUUUUGCUGCUGCAGUACUGAGGCAAAAGGGCUAGGCUCCUUGAUUCUGUUAUGGGUUUAUUGGGCUAAUGUAAUUGGGUUACAAUUUGGGCUUGUAACAUUUGUAAUUGGGCCACGUAAAUUAAGAUUUUAAAUGGACUGGGACUUUUGUUUAUUUAAGCCCGGGUUAAAAUUGGGUAUUACAAUAGAAAUAGGCAUGCUGAUUAAAACAAAUCACAAAAAGAGAAAUCUAUGCAUUAGGUUUUUUUUUUUCUUGGUGAUAGGAAAAUUGGAAAUGUGAAAAAAGAAGUGUCUUUUUUAAAAAGAUUGGGACUAAAAUGAUAAAAUGUUAUUCUACUUAAAUUAUAUUGAAAAUAAUUUUUUUAGAAAUAAUUCCACAUCAUAUUUCCAUUAGAGUUUUUAAUAAGAGUGGCC
This 958-nucleotide long non-coding RNA is filed under the name Gossypium barbadense (sea-island cotton). Its description in RNAcentral is "long non-coding RNA (GBAR_LNC019897)". The record is from RNAcentral. Lineage: Eukaryota; Viridiplantae; Streptophyta; Magnoliopsida; Malvales; Malvaceae.